UACGGAGGAUCCAAGCGUUAUCCGGAAUCAUUGGGUUUAAAGGGUCCGUAGGCGGCCUUAUAAGUCAGCGGUGAAAGUUUGCAGCUUAACUGUAAAAUUGCCAUUGAUACUGUAAGGCUUGAAUUUUUGUGAAGUAACUAGAAUAUGUAGUGUAGCGGUGAAAUGCUUAGAUAUUACAUGGAAUACCAAUUGCGAAGGCAGGUUACUAACAAACGAUUGACGCUGAUGGACGAAAGCGUGGGUAGCGAACAGG
This 253-nucleotide ribosomal RNA is filed under the name uncultured Flavobacterium sp. Its description in RNAcentral is "partial 16S ribosomal RNA". It matches the Rfam family "Bacterial small subunit ribosomal RNA", at positions 524 to 776 of the family's 1533-position model. Lineage: Bacteria; Pseudomonadati; Bacteroidota; Flavobacteriia; Flavobacteriales; Flavobacteriaceae. The record is from RNAcentral.